GAUGAACGCUGGCGGCGUGCCUAAUACAUGCAAGUCGAGCGAACAGAUGAGGAGCUUGCUCCUCUGACGUUAGCGGCUGACGGGUGAGUAACACGUGGAUAACCUACCUAUAAGACUGGGAUAACUUCGGGAAACCGGAGCUAAUACCGGAUAAUAUAUUGAACCGCAUGGUUCAAUAGUGAAAGACGGUUUUGCUGUCACUUAUAGAUGGAUCCGCGCCGCAUUAGCUAGUUGGUAAGGUAACGGCUUACCAAGGCGACGAUGCGUAGCCGACCUGAGAGGGUGAUCGGCCACACUGGAACUGAGACACGGUCCAGACUCCUACGGGAGGCAGCAGUAGGGAAUAUUCCGCAAUGGGCGAAAGCCUGACGGAGCAACGCCGCGUGAGUGAUGAAGGUCUUCGGAUCGUAAAACUCUGUUAUUAGGGAAGAACAAAUGUGUAAGUAACUAUGCACGUCUUGACGGUACCUAAUCAGAAAGCCACGGCUAACUACGUG
RNAcentral lists this ribosomal RNA (497 nucleotides) under uncultured bacterium. RNAcentral's name for it is "partial 16S ribosomal RNA". It matches the Rfam family "Bacterial small subunit ribosomal RNA", at positions 28 to 507 of the family's 1533-position model. The record is from RNAcentral.